UGGGGAAUAUUGCACAAUGGGCGCAAGCCUGAUGCAGCAACGCCGCGUGAGGGACGACGGCCUUCGGGUUGUAAACCUCUUUUAGUAGGGAAGAAGCGAAAGUGACGGUACCUGCAGAAAAAAGCACCGGCUAACUACGUGCCAGCAGCCGCGGUAAUACGUAGGGUGCAAGCGUUGUCCGGAAUUAUUGGGCGUAAAGAGCUCGUAGGCGGUUUGUCGCGUCUGCUGUGAAAAACCCGAGGCUCAACCUCGGGCCUGCAGUGGGUACGGGCAGACUAGAGUGCGGUAGGGGAGAAUGGAAUUCCUGGUGUAGCGGUGGAAUGCGCAGAUAUCAGGAGGAACACCGAUGGCGAAGGCAGUUCUCUGGGCCGUAACUGACGCUGAGGAGCGAAAGCGUGGGGAGCGAACAGGAUUAGAUACCCUGGUAGUCCACGCCGUAAACGUUGGGCGCUAGAUGUGGGGACCAUUCCACGGUUUCCGUGUCGCAGCUAACGCAUUAAGCGCCCCGCCUGGGGAGUACGGCCGCAAGGCUAAAAACUU
Molecule: ribosomal RNA, 540 nt
Filed under: uncultured bacterium
Lineage: Bacteria
Description: partial 16S ribosomal RNA
Rfam family: Bacterial small subunit ribosomal RNA
Source: RNAcentral